Molecule: ribosomal RNA, 679 nt
Filed under: Burkholderia sp. enrichment culture clone b112
Lineage: Bacteria; Pseudomonadati; Pseudomonadota; Betaproteobacteria; Burkholderiales; Burkholderiaceae
Description: bacterial SSU rRNA
Rfam family: Bacterial small subunit ribosomal RNA
Source: RNAcentral
UUGAGUUUGAUCCUGGCUCAGAUUGAACGCUGGCGGCAUGCCUUACACAUGCAAGUCGAACGGCAGCACGGGGGCAACCCUGGUGGCGAGUGGCGAACGGGUGAGUAAUGCAUCGGAACGUGCCCAGUAGUGGGGGAUAGCCCGGCGAAAGCCGGAUUAAUACCGCAUACGUACUGAGGUAGAAAGCGGGGGACCGAAAGGCCUCGCGCUAUUGGAGCGGCCGAUGUCGGAUUAGCUUGUUGGUGGGGUAAUGGCCUACCAAGGCGACGAUCCGUAACUGGUCUGAGAGGACGACCAGUCACACUGGGACUGAGACACGGCCCAGACUCCUACGGGAGGCAGCAGUGGGGAAUUUUGGACAAUGGGCGCAAGCCUGAUCCAGCAAUGCCGCGUGUGUGAAGAAGGCCUUCGGGUUGUAAAGCACUUUUGUCCGGAAAGAAAUCCGUCUGGCUAAUACCCGGACGGGAUGACGGUACCGGAAGAAUAAGCACCGGCUAACUACGUGCCAGCAGCCGCGGUAAUACGUAGGGUGCGAGCGUUAAUCGGAACUACUGGGCGUAAAGCGUGCGCAGGCGGCUUUGUAAGACAGAUGUGAAAUCCCCGGGCUCAACCUGGGAACUGCAUUUGUGACUGCAAGGCUAGAGUGCGUCAGAGGGAGGUGGAAUUCCGCGUGUAGCAG